RNAcentral lists this ribosomal RNA (2688 nucleotides) under Triticum aestivum (bread wheat). RNAcentral describes it as "partial small subunit ribosomal RNA". The record is from RNAcentral. Lineage: Eukaryota; Viridiplantae; Streptophyta; Magnoliopsida; Poales; Poaceae.
AUGUCGCCGCCCGAGAACCCCAACGGCGGGGCCGCCGCCGCCGCGCCCUCGGAGCCCGCGCCGCCCGCCAAGCCUUCGUCUUCCAAGGGGAAGAAGAAGGACGACAAGAAGGACGACGAUCUGUCUGAGGAGGACCUGGCGCUCAAGGAGCAGCUCGAGCUCUACGUGGUGCGCGCGCAGGACGUGGAUCCCGGCGUGCAGAGGCUCGCCCUCGAGAGCAUGAGGCAGGAGAUUCGUUCAGCUACAAGCUCCAUGACGUCUGUCCCGAAGCCACUGAAAUUCCUCCGCCCACACUAUGGAACCCUUAAGUCCUACUAUGAAACUAUGCCAGAAUCUGAGCUAAAGAAGUACAUGGCCGACAUACUGUCGGUGUUGGCCUUGACAAUGUCUGCUGAAGGAGAAAGGGAGAGCCUGAGGUACCGUUUGUUGGGCUCUGAAGGCGACAUUGGUUCAUGGGGUCAUGAAUAUGUGAGGAAUCUGGCUGGUGAAAUUGCUCAAGAAUUCGAAAAGCGCCAGGGUGAUGACAUGCCAAUUGAUGAGUUAAUGGAACUAGUGCAGCAAAUUGUCUCAUUCCACAUGAAGCAUAAUGCUGAGCCAGAAGCUGUAGAUCUUCUGAUGGAGGUUGAAGACCUUGAUUUGCUAGUUGAGCAUGUCGACUCAACAAACUACAAGAGAACUUGUUUGUACCUUACUAGUUCGUCUAGAUUCCUCCCUUCUCCAGAUGAUACGCUGGCACUUGAUAUAGCAUAUACCAUUUACAUGAAGUUUGAAGAUCUUGCAAGUGCAUUGCGCAUUGCUUUGCUUCUUGACAACAAGUCCAUACAGUAUGUGAAGCAGGUCUACACAGCAACUGAUGAUCUUGUACUCAAGAAGCAAUUCUCAUACAUCAUUGCACGCCAUGGUUUGGCCAUGGAGAUUGAUGAUGAGAUAGCUGCAGAUGAAAAUGACAAGGAAAUGUUGCAAGAAAUAGUUAAUAACACCAAGCUGAGCGAGGGGUACCUCACUCUUGCUCGUGAUAUCGAAGUUAUGGAGGCAAAAUCUCCAGAAGAUAUUUAUAAGGUCCAUUUGAUUGACGGACGUGGUGCCAGCUCCAGUCUUGAUUCUGCAAGACAGAAUUUGGCUGCAACAUUUGUCAAUGCAUUUGUUAAUGCUGGAUUUGGCCAGGAUAAGCUGAUGACUGCUCCAUCUGAUUCUUCCAGCAGUGGGUCUUCUGGAAACUGGUUAUUUAAGAAUAAGGAACAUGGAAAAGCCAGUGCAGCAGCUAGCCUGGGAAUGAUUCUCCUGUGGGAUACUGAUUCUGGGCUUGCCCAGCUCGACAAGUACUUGCAUAGUACUGAUACUCAUGUUGUUGCUGGAGCUUUGCUAGGUAUUGGAGUUGUCACCUGCGGUGUGAAGAAUGAUUGUGACCCUGCACUUGCCAUCCUCAUGGAGUAUGUUAACAAGGAUGACUCAAACAUACGGAUUGGUGCAAUCUUGGGUCUUGGUAUUGCAUAUGCUGGUUCUCAAAAGGAUGAGCUAAGAGUGCAACUCUCGGCUAUAUUGGGAGACCCCCAAGCAACACUCGAGGUCUUGGUCUUCACUGCUGUUGCUUUGGGAUUGGUGUUUGUUGGUUCAUGCAACGAAGAGAUUGCACAAUCCAUCAUAUUUUUCUUGAUGGAGCGUAGUGAGGCCGAGCUGGCAGAGCCAAUUAUACGCCUUCUUCCUGUUGCGCUUGGCCUUCUAUAUCUUGGAAAGCAGGAAAGCGUUGAGGCUACUGCGGAGGUUUCUAAAACAUUUGAUGAGAAGAUCAGGAAAUAUUGUGACGUAACACUUAUGUCCCUUGCAUAUGCUGGAACAGGAAAUGUGCUCAAGGUUCAGAAACUUCUUGGUAUUUGCUCACAACAUCUUGAGAAAGGCGAAACACACCAAGGCCCAGCUGUCCUUGGAAUUGCUCUUAUUGCCAUGUCUGAAGAAUUAGGAGCUGAAAUGGCUGUACGAUCACUUGAACGUCUUCUACAGUAUGGCGAGCAGAAUAUUAGACGAGCAGUUCCUCUUGCACUUGGUAUCCUCUGUAUUUCGAACCCCAAGGUAAAUGUAAUGGACACACUGAGCAGAUUGAGUCAUGAUGCAGAUGCUGAUGUGUCAAUGGCUGCGAUAAUCUCAUUGGGUUUGAUUGGUGCUGGUACAAACAAUGCCAGAAUAGCUGGUAUGCUUCGUAAUCUAUCGAGUUAUUACUACAAAGAGGCUGCUCAUCUAUUCUGUGUAAGAAUUGCUCAAGGGCUUGUUCACCUUGGGAAAGGUUUGCUGACACUUUCUCCAUACCAUUCCGACCGGUUUCUUCUUUCCCCGAUGGCACUCGGAGGGAUUGUCACUGUUCUGCAUGCCUGCCUUGAUAUGAAGUCCACCAUUCUAGGGAAAUAUCACUACAUUCUUUACAUUAUUGUAUUGGCAAUGCAGCCAAGGAUGCUUUUAACGGUGGAUGAGGAUCUGAAGCCUCUUCCUGUUCCAGUGCGGGUUGGGCAAGCAGUUGAUGUGGUCGGGCAGGCAGGAAGACCUAAGACGAUAACCGGCUUUCAGACGCAUACCACUCCUGUCUUGCUUGCAGCCGGGGAGCGAGCGGAAUUGGCGACUGACAAGUACAUCCCCCUGACGUCGACGUUGGAGGGCUUUGUAAUUCUGAAGAAGAACCCUGAAUACCACGAGGAGUGA